Molecule: ribosomal RNA, 292 nt
Filed under: uncultured bacterium
Lineage: Bacteria
Description: partial 16S ribosomal RNA
Rfam family: Bacterial small subunit ribosomal RNA
Source: RNAcentral
GUGCCAGCAGCCGCGGUAAGACAGAGGAGCCAAGCGUUGUCCGGAUUGACUGGGCGUAAAGCGCACGCAGGUGGUCAGGCAAGUGUCGUGUGAAAGCGGCCCGCUUAACGGGCCGAGGCCAUGGCAGACUGCCCGACUGGAGGUCGUGAGAGGUCCGUGGAAUUGCCGGUGUAGUGGUGAUAUGCGUAGAGAUCGGCAGGAACACCCAAGGGGAAGCCAACGGACUGGCACGAUACUGACACUGAGGUGCGACAGCGUGGGGAGCGAACUGGAUUAGAAACCCUCGUAGUCC